AUAAUGAAUACAUGCCACAGCCUCUUUGCCCAGAGUUUCUGUAUAUAGCCUUCUAUGGGAGGCUCUAUGAAUUGCCCUUACAAUCUCCCCCUUCCCUGUCCCUGAACAUGCCAUUUUAAAUAAUUAUUGAAGAAAUUGCACUUUUUAAGUUGUUCGGUUUGAAGUGGCUCGAAGGAGCUUGAUGUAUAUUUUUGUGCUGAUCGCAGUUUUAUUGUCGGAAUAUCCAUGUUGAUAGCUGUCUGAUCUGGGUGUUUGAAAGAGAACAUUUGCAGGUUUUUAGGGUGUACCCACCUGGCAUGGAUAAGUCAGGCAUUCCAGGAAAGUGGUUCUUUUAAGAACUGGUCUUUAAGGGUUGGUUGACUACCUCAGUACAGAGGACUAAACUACCCGGCCUGUACUGUAAAUAGGGAAACUAUAUUGAUGAAAGCAGGGCUUGUUUCCAAUACAAAAUAUGCACAAGGGCUGCGGCGCAAAAACGAUGUACUUAGUGUAAUAUAGUCUUUAGCUGCAGCUCUACAGACUGCAAACAGUCAAACUGGGCAUGCAAAAAACAAUCUCAUGUGAUGAGUCCAAACAAGCCCUGCUUUUAUCUUAUUUUGAACUGAAUUAGCCACCUUGCUUCUUCAGAGUAUGUAGUUACUGGAUGUAUAGGUUCUUUUUUGGAAAAUGUUACUUUUGUAAAGGCUUCAACAUCACAGGCGUUCAACUGCCUUUGAUUUAAAAAGAAAAGAAAAGAAAAAAGAAAUAAAACAAAAUAAAAGCCCUGCAGUGUCCCUUUUGUGCCACUGUGCUGUUUUUUAUAUGGAUAGAAACUCGUUUUUUCCCCCCAUCUAUGUCUGUAAAGUUUUGUCCAUUCAUCUCAUUAUAAAGAUCAUGACUUUUAGCCACAGUGGUCGAAGGGAUACUGCAGUGAACGAUUUCUAUUUCCAUCUAUAGCAUCAUGAAAACUGCUCUUCAAUCCCAGUUUUCUAAUACAGUUAACUCCCUCAGUAAAAUCAUUAACCACCUUUUGAGAAAAAAACAAUGACGUCAGCAGUUUUAAACUAUUGUUGGUGGCCAACAACAUUUUUUGCAUUCCUGCAAAUAAAUUGUUUUAUACUGUAAAAUGGAGGUGAGUG
Molecule: long non-coding RNA, 1118 nt
Filed under: Gouania willdenowi (blunt-snouted clingfish)
Lineage: Eukaryota; Metazoa; Chordata; Actinopteri; Blenniiformes; Gobiesocidae
Description: lncRNA (ENSGWIG00000016469.1)
Source: RNAcentral